Molecule: ribosomal RNA, 30 nt
Filed under: Moesziomyces parantarcticus
Lineage: Eukaryota; Fungi; Basidiomycota; Ustilaginomycetes; Ustilaginales; Ustilaginaceae
Description: partial 18S ribosomal RNA
Source: RNAcentral
UCUGUAGGUGAACCUGCAGAUGGAUCAUUU